Molecule: long non-coding RNA, 657 nt
Organism: Manis pentadactyla (Chinese pangolin)
Lineage: Eukaryota; Metazoa; Chordata; Mammalia; Pholidota; Manidae
Exons: 2
Source: RefSeq, a predicted model, not a curated record
CGCCUAGGCCCAGGCUGGAGAUUCAGUUCAACGGGCCUGGACAAAGGUUUGUUUUUUGGUUUUUUGGCAAAAGUUGUCUGGAACAAUUCCUAGGCAAUUCUGAGAUGCAACCAGGGUUGAGAGCCACUGACAUGAAGGACUGUGAAAAAGACUCAGGGAAUUCACAUAAGGAAAGGGCGCAUGUCAACCUGGGCUGAAACUGUCGUGCUACAGGAUUCCGAGACGCACAUGAGCUGCCCAAACAGGAACAACCAGGACUCGGGACUGAGUUCAAUCUUAAAAACAAACCAAACAACCAAAACCAAAACAGCUACCAAAGGCAGAAAACAAAAUGAAUUCCACACCUCUGAAUAUCUAAAUAUCAUUAAAAGGCAAAUGAAAAGCUGGGAAAAAGAUGUUUGAAGUAUAUAGGAGAGGAGUUUAAUGUCAUUAAUGUGCACUUACAAAUCAAUAAGAAAAUGUGAAUACCUUGAUAAAAAGUUGGAUAAAGGAUAUAAACAAGUAAUGCACAGUACAAGCGAUACAAAUGGCACUAACCAUAGAAAAACCCUCACUUGUAAUCAAAGAAGUACAACUGAAAACAAAACAAAAAAAGUGAUCUUUCUGAUUAUUAAAUUGGCAGAUUAAAAAUAAAAAUAAAAUCUGAGUUGGUGACUA